RNAcentral lists this ribosomal RNA (253 nucleotides) under uncultured bacterium. Its description in RNAcentral is "partial 16S ribosomal RNA". It matches the Rfam family "Bacterial small subunit ribosomal RNA", at positions 524 to 776 of the family's 1533-position model. The record is from RNAcentral.
UACGAAGGGGGCUAGCGUUGCUCGGAAUCACUGGGCGUAAAGCGCACGUAGGCGGACUCUUAAGUCGGUGGUGAAAUCCUGGAGCUCAACUCCGGAACUGCCUUCGAUACUGAGAGUCUUGAGUCCGGGAGAGGUGAGUGGAACUGCGAGUGUAGAGGUGAAAUUCGUAGAUAUUCGCAAGAACACCAGUGGCGAAGGCGGCUCACUGGCCCGGUACUGACGCUGAGGUGCGAAAGCGUGGGGAGCAAACAGG